Molecule: ribosomal RNA, 492 nt
Filed under: uncultured bacterium
Lineage: Bacteria
Description: partial 16S ribosomal RNA
Rfam family: Bacterial small subunit ribosomal RNA
Source: RNAcentral
AGUGAACGCUGGCGGUAGGCCUAACACAUGCAAGUCGAACGGCAGCACAGUAAGAGCUUGCCCUUACGGGUGGCGAGUGGCGGACGGGUGAGGAAUACAUCGGAAUCUACUUUUUCGUGGGGGAUAACGUAGGGAAACUUACGCUAAUACCGCAUACGACCUACGGGUGAAAGCAGGGGAUCUUCGGACCUUGCGCGAUUGAAUGAGCCGAUGUCGGAUUAGCUAGUUGGCGGGGUAAAGGCCCACCAAGGCGACGAUCCGUAGCUGGUCUGAGAGGAUGAUCAGCCACACUGGAACUGAGACACGGUCCAGACUCCUACGGGAGGCAGAAGUGGGGAAUAUUGGACAAUGGGCGCAAGCCUGAUCCAGCCAUACCGCGUGGGUGAAGAAGGCCUUCGGGUUGUAAAGCCCUUUUGUUGGGAAAGAAAAGCAGCAGGUUAAUACCCCGCUGUUCUGACGGUACCCAAAGAAUAAGCACCGGCUAACUUCGUG